RNAcentral lists this transfer RNA (83 nucleotides) under Candidatus Campbellbacteria bacterium CG10_big_fil_rev_8_21_14_0_10_35_52. RNAcentral's name for it is "tRNA-Leu". It matches the Rfam family "tRNA". From Rfam's summary of the family: Transfer RNA (tRNA) molecules are approximately 80 nucleotides in length. The record is from RNAcentral. Lineage: Bacteria; Candidatus Campbelliibacteriota.
GCCCAGGUGGCGAAACUGGCAGACGCGCUACCUUGAGGGGGUAGUGGGAGCAAUCCCGUGGCGGUUCAAAUCCACUCCUGGGC